Dryobates pubescens (Downy woodpecker) is the source of this 350-nucleotide long non-coding RNA. RefSeq lists it as uncharacterized. The record is from RefSeq and is a predicted model, not a curated record. Lineage: Eukaryota; Metazoa; Chordata; Aves; Piciformes; Picidae. The transcript has 3 exons.
AUCCUUUGUGGACUUCCAACCCAAACCAUCAAGUGCAGCAUAUGCUCCAGGUACCAUGCUUGAUGGCUCAUUUAAGAACAAGACAUCCUCUGUGGGCCAGGAGUAAAACCCACAUGUCUCUCCGAUACAAAGGACAGUCAGAAAGGGAAGGCAUAGCACAUUUGACCCAAACCCAGCCUCACCUGGGCACCAUGGGCAUCUCCCACUGCAUAAUUCAGGAGCUGAGCCAGCUAAUGGAAACCAAUUCUGUAUCUUCAAGGCAAGAUGAGAAGGUUUUACUGUUCCCCUGACUAGUAACAACAGAGAAUCGAUACAGCUCUACAGCAGCCAAAUGCCAGCACGUCUCUUCA